GGAGGAUACAGGCCAGGUGGGUGCUAACCUCAGGGACAGCUGUGCCUUUGAAAACAGCAUGGUCCCUCCACAUCUCUAGUGCCUUGCAUCACUCCUUCCUCAGUCAUUACUGUGUCCCCAGGAUGUGCAGGGCUCUGUCCUGGGCCCAGAGGGACAGAAAUGAAGCAGCCCCACCCUUGCCCACAGGAGCUCACGACCUGGUGGCUGGUCUGGUGUGGAUACCUGUGGGGCAUUGAGGAUACCUUCAGGGGGUGUGGCAGGUGUCCUGAUAAAGCAGGACAAUAGCCAAGGACAGAGACUGGCCCCGGCAGGGAGCCAGAGAGCUGGGUGAGGAAGAGGGAAAAGCAGAGCCAAGAAAGGACACGCAAACCAGCAGAGAAGCCAGCAGGUCAGGUUUCUGCAAAGAGGGGAAAGUAAGGAGAGAGAGGCCGGGGGGAGAGGCGGGUGGACUGGCAUCCCUGAGGGCUGGGAGGCCGGGAGCUGCAGGGGACGGGAGGUAAGGGGAGAGGAGGAAGGGGUGAGGGUGUUCUCUUGUCUUCAUAUGAUGUCAGGGCUGCUGCUGAGACUCCCAGGGGGGCCUCUACCAGGGACCAGUCGCCUUAGUCUACCUGUCUCCCCCCUUGAUCCUGCAGGGAGGGGCCGAUUCCCCUUUGAUAACUGAGGAGACUGAGGCUCAGGGAGGUGGAGCCUGUUGGUUACAAACCCUCAGGCAAGGGACACCCAGACUGACACCCCAAAGCCCAUGUUCUGUCCCCCUGCUGCCAUUGAGCAGGGUCCCCUCCUGUCUGCAAAGCCAAACCAGAGCCCCACAGGCCCCUUACAACCUAUGAUUAUGUCACCGUGCCCCACAGUGACUGUCCCUCUCUGCAUACCAAGUAGGCAGGAAAAAGGUGGAUGGAGGUGAGAAGAGCCAUCAUGGAGGGAGCUGUGACCCCCAGGCUGGGGUGGGAGGAGAAGGAGCCAGUUCAUGCCACAGAGGCCUGUCCCCAACAGUAUCACUUCGGUGGAGAUAAACUUUAUGGACAUUGGACUUUGACCACUUCAAUUUUGAUCGCUUCCAUUCUAGACCAUCAAGGAGCCACCACCAACCCAGGAAAGAGCAAAGGAGCCUGAGGACACAUGUCACAUGCAGACAUGCCCCAUGGUGAUUGUCCCGCAUGGAUGCCAAGGAUGCAGGAUGAAACGGAUGGAGGUGAGAAGGGCUCUGGGGAGCAGGAGGUAAGGGGAGCUGCUUCGUGCACAGGCCUGGGACUGUAAGGCAUGGCCCGAGUAGGAAUGAGCUACAGGCAGUGGACUGCAGUCACUGGGACCUGAGAAAAGCCAAAGGCCUCCUGACCCUAGUGGCCCAAGGGAGGCC
RNAcentral lists this long non-coding RNA (1357 nucleotides) under Camelus dromedarius (Arabian camel). RNAcentral's name for it is "lncRNA (ENSCDRG00005007553.1)". Lineage: Eukaryota; Metazoa; Chordata; Mammalia; Artiodactyla; Camelidae. The record is from RNAcentral.